This 1182-nucleotide long non-coding RNA is filed under the name Pogona vitticeps (central bearded dragon). Its description in RNAcentral is "lncRNA (ENSPVIG00000023007.1)". Lineage: Eukaryota; Metazoa; Chordata; Lepidosauria; Squamata; Agamidae. The record is from RNAcentral.
CUUCUUUGCACCUGAUAUCAAGAUUUUUUUUUAAAUUCAGCAUCUGGAACCCCCAAAACACCACAGACACUUUAGUGAUGAUUUAUAUGGAUGCACGAACUGAAGGCUUUUUGAACCAUUCUGCAGCUGAUCUAGAAACACACAAAUAUAAUUGCUCUACCUACUCUCACUGGAAAAGACCCUGAUGUUAGGAAAGUGUGAGGGCAAGAGGAGAAGGGGACGACAGAGGAUGAGAUGGCUGGACAGUGUCAUCAAAGCUACCAACAUGAAUUUGACCCAACUCUGGGAGGCAGUGGAAGACAGGAGGGCCUGGCGGGCUCUGGUCCAUGGGGUCAUGAAGAGUCGGACAUGACUAAACAACUAAACAACAAAAAAACUCUCAUUUGGACACUUUUCUCUGAAGCCAGUGCCUACCCCUAGUAUAAAGCAUCUGCAGAAAUAAAGGAGUUAUCAAGUUUACAGAGAAAGAAGACUUUAAUUCAGUGACAAUCAGAAUUCACAGCAACAAUAUGAACAGGAACACUGAAUUUAAAGCAAGCCUCAGAAGGGGGGGAAAGCAGAUUUAUUUUAUUGCUAAUCUGUUGUUUGAAUCCUUUUUGGAAUGAGGAUCAGAAAUCGACUUGUUUCCUCAUAACUGUUUUUUAUGGUAUUUGUUAUGAAAUCAUAUAAUAUGUCCACAUUCUCGUUUGUUGUACAAUCAACCACUUCCUCCCCACUGAAUGUAUUUAUCUUAUUUUUCAAGUUUUUCCUUUCACUUGCAGGAAAAUGUGGCUCUCCACAUGUUGUUGGACUUCAACUCCAUCUUCUUGGCCCUCACUGCAAGGGUUGGCCCUCCUUCCCAUCCCCGACCUAUGCUUUUAUUCCAAGUGGGGUGUUUUGACAAUUGAGCAAUUCCUGGCAAAGAGACAAAAAAAGUGUUAAGAGUUAGCACAGGGAGCAAGCCUUCCCCGGUUCGCAACUACACUAUUACCCCGCCCUCCAGCCAUCGCGUGAAAACGAUCCUCUCUCAGCCACGCACCCAACCGCGCCCCCCCCUACCUGCUCUCCGUUUUCCUAGCCCGCCCCCUGCGGGGCUCCAGCCCGGAGCUUCCCGGAAGACCGAGGCUUAAGCCCACGAAAGUCACGCUCGGGAGAAGGAGCGACGGCCGCCAGGGACGCGGGGGAAUCGCCUCUGCUGGAACU